RNAcentral lists this ribosomal RNA (469 nucleotides) under uncultured bacterium. RNAcentral's name for it is "bacterial SSU rRNA". It matches the Rfam family "Bacterial small subunit ribosomal RNA", at positions 46 to 526 of the family's 1533-position model. The record is from RNAcentral.
GCUUAACACAUGCAAGUCGAGCGAGAACCGGUCCUUCGGGGCCGGGGACAGCGGCGAACGGGUGAGUAACACGUGGGUAAUCUGCCCUCGGCACCGGGAUAGCCCGGGGAAACCCGGAUUAAUACCGGAUGGCCUUUCGGGUCUUCGGACUCGAAUGAAAAGGUAGCUUCGGCCUCCGGCCGAGGAUGAGCCCGCGGCCGAUUAGCUAGUUGGUGGGGUAAUGGCCCACCAAGGCGACGAUCAGUAGCUGGUCUGAGAGGAUGAUCAGCCUCAUUGGGACUGAGACACGGCCCAAACUCCUACGGGAGGCAGCAGUAGGGAAUAUUGGACAAUGGGCGCAAGCCUGAUCCAGCCAUGCCGCGUGAGUGAUGAAGGCCUUAGGGUUGUAAAGCUCUUUCGGCGGGGAAGAUAAUGACGGUACCCGCAUAAGAAGCCCCGGCUAACUUCGUGCCAGCCGCCGCGGUAAUAC